This 468-nucleotide ribosomal RNA is filed under the name uncultured bacterium. RNAcentral describes it as "partial 16S ribosomal RNA". It matches the Rfam family "Bacterial small subunit ribosomal RNA", at positions 28 to 507 of the family's 1533-position model. The record is from RNAcentral.
GACGAACGCUGGCGGCGUGCUUAACACAUGCAAGUCGAACGGAAAGGCCCUGCGUUUGUGGGGUGCUCGAGUGGCGAACGGGUGAGUAACACGUGAGUAACCUGCCCCUGACUUUGGGAUAACUUCAGGAAACUGGGGCUAAUAUCGGAUAGGAUCUUCUGCUGCAUGGGGGGGGUAGGAAAGUUUCGGCGGUUGGGGAUGGACUCGCGGCUUAUCAGCUUGUUGGUGGGGUAGUGGCUUACCAAGGCUUUGACGGGUAGCCGGCCUGAGAGGGUGACCGGCGACAUUGGGACUGAGAGACGGCGCAGACUGCUACGGGCGGCAGCAGUGGGGAACCUUGCACAAUGGGCGGACGCCUGAUGCAGAAGCGCCGCGUGCGGGAUGACCGCCUUCGGGUUGUAAACCGCUUUCGCCUGUGACGAAGCGUGAGUGACGGUACUGGGUAAAGAAGCACCGGCUAACUACGUG